UCCAGACUUCACAGUUGACAAACAAGGGGUCAUUUACAGUUAAAAAAACAUCCAAGGAGGAGCAUGUGGAGAUUCAGACAUUAACCGUCCUGAUUCACUACAGCCAUCGGGUGUCCGGCAUUAACAUCAGCCAGUGAGGGAAUGGGUCCUUGGAAAUCAAUGAACGCUGCCAUACUGCCCACUUUACUUCUGUCCUUCUCUUUGCCCCAAACUGGGCUCAAACCAAGGACCCUCUGAACACAUCAACAACAGUCAUCCAUGAAGUAUUGUUACCUAUCACCAUAUCAUGCACAAUGUGACUGCUAUGUAGGCCAAAUGCACUUGACUAUCAUCCUGAGCUCUGACUUGUUCCACAUGCUGACCUCUGAAGUCACCAACUAAGGAAAUUAGCUCGUUUUCAGCAGUUAAAUGCAACAAUAGUUAAAUCCGAUCUAUUUAAAUGUUUUUUGAACACUCUGAUUUGUUAACAAGCAUGUCACCUUGGUUACGAACGGAGCAUAACUAAUGAUCAGUGACAGUUAUUGUUGUGUUUUAUAUGUUGUACAGUGUGUUUAUAAUUGUGCUUAAUUCAAAUGUUUAUUUUAAAAACUUGGAAUACAAUGUUAUUUCUUUAAAACAUUUAUGUGUAUGCUAUGUCGUGAGCCUCCUCUACUUCCUGGAAUCCAACGUAGCUUGGGGUCAGCAUUGGGGUCAGAGUUGGGGUCAGGGUAUUUAGAUCGAACUGCUGGGAGUACCCGGCGUUGGCCUCGACCAAGACUUCCUCCCAUCAGCAUUCACUCCAAAGUGAACCUGUAGGAAACCAGUCUAUUUUGUCUAGACAAAUACAUGACAAUGUAUUAUACAACAAUAACAAAUAUGAAAUAGGUCUAGGCCUAUACAACAUAAAAUGUAACAAUAGUCUCAGGGCUCAUUGGGCCAAUUCAUUUACAAGGCAUAUUGAUGAUGGCACAAAACUAUUGACACUUAUCUUGGUCUUGUAGACUUGAAGACUGUGUGACCAACUCAUUGUUGAAAGGGGAUGAGUGAUCAAGUGUGAGGCUGUUUGUCUUCCUCUAUAGGGUGUGGGUUUACAGGAUAAUCAAGAUACUAGUGUGAGGCUGUUUGUCGUCCUCUUUAGGGUGUGGGUUUACAGGAUAAUCAAGAUACUAGUGAGGCUGUUUGUCGUCCUCUUUAGGGUGUGGGUUUACAGGAUAAUCAAGAUACUAGUGUGAGGCUGUUUGUCGUCCUCUUUAGGGUGUGGGUUUACAGGAUAAUCAAGAUACUAGUGUGAGGCUGUUUGUCGUCCUCUUUAGGGUGUGGGUUUAUAGGAUAAUCAAGAUACUAGUGGUGUGACAGCUAGACCGGCAAAUGCAAGCAACAUUUUGUUCACUACAACUAUUGACUUUAUACUUCUUACAUUGUUUGGAAAUAUAGUAUAUUUAAUAUUUAGACCAUAUUGUGAAGUGAGCAUCCCAUACAUUCUAUUUCUAUGGUGCAUCAACUCGUUCUAGACACUGUUUCCCCGGCCAGCAUGUCAUCAUUGUCAGACAAACUUUAAGGGGAGACUACAGUAGCCAGUUAUAUUAUGGAGUGUAGGCAGGUUACUAAAACACAUUCAACAAAACACGUAGACUUCAGAGACAGUGGGUGGGGUUAUAUCCUUCCUGUUUGGCCCUGUCCGGGGCUGUCCUCGGAUGGGGCCACAGUGUCUCAGGAAGGUAAGUUGGUGGUUGAAGAUAUCCCUCUAGUGGUGUGGGGGCUGUGCUUUGGCAGAGUGGGUGGGGUUAUAUCCUUCCUGUUUGGCCCUGUCCGGGGCUGUCCUCGGAUGGGGCCACAGUGUCUCAGGAUGGUAAGUUGGUGGUUGAAGAUAUCCCUCUAGUGGUGUGGGGUCUGUGCUUUGGCAGAGUGGGUGGGGUUACAUCCUUCCUGUUUGGCCCUGUCCGGGGCUGUCCUCGGAUGGGGCCACAGUGUCUCAGGAUGGUAAGUUGGUGGUUGAAGAUAUCCCUCUAGUGGUGUGGGGGCUGUGCUUUGGCAGAGUGGGUGGGGUUACAUCCUUGCUGUUUGGCCCUGUCCGGGGCUGUCCUCGGAUGGGGCCACAGUGUCUCAGGAUGGUAAAUUGGUGGUUGAAGAUAUCCCUCUAGUGGUGUGGGGGCUGUGCUUUGGCAGAGUGGGUGGGGUUAUAUCCUUCCUGUUUGGCCCUGUCCGGGGCUGUCCUCGGAUGGGGCCACAGUGUCUCAGGAUGGUAAGUUGGUGGUUGAAGAUAUCCCUCUAGUGGUGUGGGGGCUGUGCUUUGGCAGAGUGGGUGGGGUUACAUCCUUCCUGUUUGGCCCUGUCCGGGGCUGUCCUCGGAUGGGGCCACAGUGUCUCAGGAUGGUAAGUUGGUGGUUGAAGAUAUCCCUCUAGUGGUGUGGGGUCUGUGCUUUGGCAGAGUGGGUGGGGUUACAUCCUUCCUGUUUGGCCCUGUCCGGGGCUGUCCUCGGAUGGGGCCACAGUGUCUCAGGAUGGUAAGUUGGUGGUUGAAGAUAUCCCUCUAGUGGUGUGGGGGCUGUGCUUUGGCAGAGUGGGUGGGGUUACAUCCUUGCUGUUUGGCCCUGUCCGGGGCUGUCCUCGGAUGGGGCCAAAGUGUCUCAGGAUGGUAAGUUGGUGGUUGAAGAUAUCCCUCUAGUGGUGUGGGGGCUGUGCUUUGGCAGAGUGGGUGGGGUUAUAUCCUUCCUGUUUGGCCCUGUCCGGGGCUGUCCUCGGAUGGGGCCACAGUGUCUCAGGAUGGUAAGUUGGUAGUUGAAGAUAUCCCUCUAGUGGUGUGGGGGCUGUGCUUUGGCAGAGUGGGUGGGGUUAUAUCCUUCCUGUUUGGCCCUGUCCGGGGCUGUCCUCGGAUGGGGCCACAGUGUCUCAGGAUGGUAAGUUGGUGGUUGAAGAUAUCCCUCUAGUGGUGUGGGGGCUGUGCUUUGGCAGAGUGGGUGGGGUUAUAUCCUUCCUGUUUGGCCCUGUCCGGGGGUGUCCUCGGAUGGGGCCACAGUGUCUCCUGACCCCUCCUGUCUCAGCCUCCAAUAUUUAUGCUGCAGUAGUUUGUGUCAGGGGGCUAGGGUCAGUUUGUUAUAUCUGGAGUACUUCUCCUGUCUUAUCCUGUGUCCUGUGUGAAUUUAAGUAUGCUCUCUCUAAUUCUCUCUUUCUCUCUUUCUUUCUUUCUUUCUUUCUUUCUUUCUUUCUUUCUUUCUUUCUUUCUUUCUUUCUUUCUUUCUUUCUUUCUUUCUGUCUUUCUUCCUCUCGGAGGACCUGAGCCUUAGGACCCUGCCUCAGGACUACCUGGCAUGAUGACUCCUUGCUAUCCCCAGUCCACCUGGCCCAUGCUGCUGCUCCAGUUUCAGCUGUUCUGUCUGUGAUUAUUAUUAUUUGACCAUUUAUGGACAUUUGAACAUCUUGGCCAUGUUCUGUUAUAAUCUCCACCCGGCACAGCCAGAAGAGGACUGGCCACCCCACAUAGCCUGGUUCCUCUCUAGGUUUCUUCCUAGGUUUUGGCCUUUCUAGUGAGUUUUCCUAUCCACCGUGCUUCAACAUCUGCAUUGCUUACUGUUUGGGCUGGGUUUCUGUACAGCACUUUGAGAUAUCAGCAGAUGUACGAAGGGCUAUAUAAAUACAUUUGAUUUGAUUUGAGCUUCCCAUUUAGACUGUCAAGUGUGGCAUGUCGCUUCCAGUUGAUCCUGGUCUGAAAAACGUUUCCAGGACCCCAGGAUUGAUGAGAUACGAAAAUUCUGAGUGUUUACACACACACAAGUCCUGUUCUUCUGCAUCGUCGGUCUGAUGCUCGACCUCCUCCAUCAUGGCAAUUAGCUGGUCCCCCCCUCCCGACAGCAGAGACAUUCUAACUCUGUUGGCAGAGGUAGGCAUCUCCCGCAACUUCACCACCAGUCACGGUCUGUUCGAGGAAGAGCCUGUGGUUCCUUGACUUUCCUUCGUUCCUGUCUCGCUCUUUCUCUUCUCUCUUGGUCUACCCAGGAAGUGUACCAAUUCCAGCUCUGCUCUGUUAACUCCGGCUCAAAACGGUAAGGCACUUUGUACCAUUAUGAAAAUACAUGUACAGCCGGUCGUCCCUGUCAUUUUAUUGGUCCGAAAGAAAUCACUUAUAAUAUACAUCUAUAUCCUUAAGCAAUGGACCUAAAAACUGUCUGGGGUGAUGACAAAUGGCCAGGCAAGUGUUAUAAAGGUCCUAGAAGUUUUUUGGGGCUGAACUGGUCCACCAGUCUUACUAGCAUUUACAAUUAAGUUAUUUACGACAAUAAGGACAUAUCAUAAGGCCUUUUGGAGGCCUAGUUAUACCCUAAUACAGUGGUGUUGGGAAACUCCUGGUUUACAGGCCACCUCAAGCCUGCAAAGCACAUUACACCAGCUUGCAAAAUGGUGUAACUCCUAUUGGAAUCCAGCUGGAGUUAGGAUAUCCAACCAAUGCCACUGUCUUUAAUCACCUACAACCUGCAUUCAGAAGGACUGCCAAGGUAGGGGUAGUUGAAUAUUUAGACUGCCUCAAUCAUAUAAACUGGAACAACCAUCCCAGUAACGGGUGCAAGAAAUUGUAUAACUACUAUCAUAUUGGAUUAGUUUAGAAAAAUGUUAUUUAUCUUUGUGUAGCAUUAAAUUAAUCAACCAAUCAAUGUCCAUGUCAUUGGUAAAAAACAACAAACGUGCAAAAACGCAGAUAUUAAAGCAAACUAGUCUAAAAAUGUAACUGCAAUAGAGCAUGCUGGGAAAUAUGGCUCUAUGUAGAAUCCUUCUGGCAUUCCAAAGAAUCAUCAAAUAACCCUUUCUUUCAAAAAUAUUUUUUAGGAUGUUAAAGGUUCUAGGUAGAACCUUUUGCCUUUCAAAGAACCCUCGUCUUCCAAAAAGGUUCUUCAGAUGAAAACGGUUCUUGGUAGAACCCUAUCCCUCCACGGAGAACUGUUUUGGAACCAUUUUCGCUAAGAGUGUAGUGACGCCCAAAUGAUUCAGCGCAUAUGCCCGUGGGUCAAGGACCAACAAACAUGUGCAACACAAAUGGGACCCUAGUCCCUAUAUAGUGCACUACUAAAUGCGUCACAAAUGACAAUGCGUCACCGCCAGUAUGGGCCCUGGUCAAUAGUAGUGCACUGGCUAGUGCAGAGGACAGCCUAUCAUAAUUCCUAUUAGCGAGAAAUGGAUAAAACAAUGCCUUCGUCCUCUCUGUCUCUCUCUCGCUCUCUGUUUAUCCCAAGGGCGAGAGAUAUAGUUUUAUCCGAUAAUUAAUUUAUUUUUUAAAUUCUACUGCAACAUCCACCCAUCCUCUCCUCCCUUCUCCAUAGUGGACAGACUAACAUUAGACGUUACAUAGGCUAUAGGGAUCACUAACACAAAUGAAUGGCUUGAUAGAGACAAAUUAUACAUUGAAUUCCUAUCUCUUCGGAGGCCCCCAUUUUCAUUAAUUUCCUCUCACUGCAAAACUCUUUGUCCUCAUCUUGUCUUUUCAAAUCCCCCAUUUGUUUCCCUUUAUUGUGUAACAUAUUUAAUCCUCUCUAGUAUUAUUUAAUGAAUGACUAUGUAGAAGGAGAGAGGGAGAGAAGAAAAGUUUAAAUUGGAACUAUAGAGAGGACAUGAGGGACUGCUUUGGCCUGAAUGACUGGAGUCUCUCAGUGGCUAGUCAAACACAGCUAAAGCAAAUGCUGAAACAAAUUGGUCUCUCUUUUAUUACCAUUUUCUCUCUUUCUAUCUCUCGUAUUCUUUUCUCUGUGUCUCUCGCUCUCUCUCUCUUUUAUUACCAUUUUCUCUCUUUCUAUCUCUCGUAUUCUCUUUCUAUCUCUCCUACAUUAUUUUCUCUGUGACUCUCUCUCUCUUUUGUUUCUCUCUCCCUCUCUCUGCCCCCCAUCUCUCUUUCUCUCUCUCUUCACAGAGUCAUCGAUGUGGGGGACAGUACAAAUCUAAAGUGUUAAUUUAAAGAAGUACAGUCCAAAUGGGCUUCUGUUCCUUGCAGGUAUAAUAAUCACUAGGAUCUAUAAUUAAAUUAAUCAGAGAUCAGCUUCGAAUCACUUUUCAUUGCCGAGCAACCAGCAGACCUUGGAUUUAUCCUGUUCGCUGUACUGGCUCAAGCUGCUUCACUUUCCACAUUACAUCCUUACCCUUACCACUCCCUCCUCAUCCUCCAUCUAUCUAUUGCCCCAUCAUCUUCUCAUCUUUCCUAGUAUCCUCCCCCAAUUCCAGACCCAUGUCAUCCUUUCUCUACCUCUCAUCCUCUCCUAUUCCAUUACAGUGUAACCCUCCUUACUCCUCUGUUCCCCUUUGACCGUUAUUAUUAUCAUUAGUGGUAGUAUUAUUAUUAGUAUUAUUAGUAUCCCCUCUGCCACCCUAUAUUUCAUCUAUUACUUCAUGUCCUAUUCCCUUCCAAUUCUCACUCCUCUCCUCCUCUCCUCCAAUCCUCUGUUCCACUCCCCUAUCCUCCUCACUCCUCUAUUCCCCUCCAAUUCUCACUCCUCUCCUACUCUCCUCCAAUCCUCUGAUCCCCUCACCUCUCCUCCUCAC
This is a long non-coding RNA of Oncorhynchus tshawytscha (Chinook salmon), 6498 nucleotides long. The record is from Ensembl. Lineage: Eukaryota; Metazoa; Chordata; Actinopteri; Salmoniformes; Salmonidae.